Long non-coding RNA from Cannabis sativa, 923 nucleotides. RefSeq lists it as uncharacterized. The transcript has 3 exons. Lineage: Eukaryota; Viridiplantae; Streptophyta; Magnoliopsida; Rosales; Cannabaceae. The record is from RefSeq and is a predicted model, not a curated record.
CGGGUAAUAAGGUGGGAUUGAGGGGUUUAGUUAUUUAUUUAAAUACUUGUUAUGUGAAGCACGGUUAGUGUUGGAGUUAGUGGGUAAGAGACCUAGGCCUAUAAAUAGAGAGCUUUUGCUCACUUAUUCAUUUCACUCAAAUAGUCAAAUAGCUAUCCAGUAUAUCCUUCUUCCAUUUUCCUCUACACGUACUGAAGUGAUUUUAUUCCAUCUUUUAUAGUCAAACACUUGUUUCUCCAAGAGCCAAAUAGUCCUACACACCAUCAUUAUUACUAGAAGCUUUAAACAUCAACAACUUCUCUUAAACAUCACCAUUAUUCUCCCAUACAUUUAUAUAUUUCCUUCAUCAUAUCGGCAUCACCACUACCACUAUUUUCACAUUCAAAUUUUAGUGCUCUGCUAGUUUUCUUUGGAAAUUAAGGUUUUUCGUAAGACAAUUAUUUCUCAAGAAUCACUCUCUUUGCAAUCAAGGCUAGGACUCCACAUUCGAGACCAAGGUAACUGAAAGUUUAGAAAGCCGGUGGCGAGUGAAACUUUGGACGCUUGUGUGUGUGAACUCGCUGAGGGCCAUAUAACUGCGGGCGGUCUAGGGCGCUCUAUUUAUUUAUUUACGUUAUUAAAUUAAUGUCGCAAUUAUUUUAGUUAUUAUUUAUUAUGUCUUUUGUACGAAAACUGGCCAGUUGUGAAUAUUUUCAAGUAUUAAAUAAAAAUGCGACAUUAUGAUUUUCCGCGAUUAACGCUUGUAAAUAAAAUUAAUAUUUUUAUAAAAGUACGGGCGUUACAAUUUGGUAUCAGAGCCACAGUUAUAUCGGUCCCAAACGUUCUCACGAGUUACACACAUCAGCCAAAAAGUUUCUGCUUGCCACCAAGUAAGUCCAUUAUAUAUGCUUCCAUUUCUAUGUGUAUUUUUUUUUUGUAAUUUC